This is a long non-coding RNA of Dendroctonus ponderosae (mountain pine beetle), 969 nucleotides long. RefSeq lists it as uncharacterized. The record is from RefSeq and is a predicted model, not a curated record. NCBI's taxonomy places the organism in Eukaryota, Metazoa, Arthropoda, Insecta, Coleoptera, Curculionidae. The transcript is spliced from 2 exons.
GUUUGCAAUAUUAGGAUUUUUUUAAAAAGUUUCAAGUUUUGAAGUUGCUAACAUAAACCAAUAUUCGUUCGUCUGUGUCAAAAGCCGCCACUUUUUUUUAAAUUAUGAACGAAAAUACAUUUGACAACACGGCAGGCCGUGGCCCGUGGCCAACACAUAGGAGACUAAUUCCCCUGAAAGAGCUUAUUGACAUUCAAACGAGUUUUUUGAUACCACGUAAUGCAUAAUUUUGUUUUCAGUGAAUAUUGAAGAUAGAAAUUUUUUCGUUACAUGAUAUUAAUCUAAUCGCCUGAUCAGGACGUAGCAGGAAUAAGCUAGAAAACUCUGUUGUUUUAAAGGCACAUUUCGAUACUAAUAUAAUUUACUAAAAAUGAGAACUUGCCACUUCAUAACUUGGGCAACGCUUUAAAACACAACUUUAGGAACCAGGCCCUGCUGCAAUUUAAUUACGCUUUUUGGCUGUAUACAAUAUGCAAGCAAUAGCUAGAGUAGAACAGCACGUAGGAUUGUAUUCUUUCACAUAGUUAGAGCCCCUUUGUAUUUCGUGAUGUCUGAUAAAGUAACGGGAGCUUUGCUGCCGCCAUUGAAACCUACUUGUCCAAUGCACCAUAGAAGAGAAGCAGUUUGGAGAAAGCCACUGUCGAAUAUUAUCUGUUUUACUAUUUUCCUUUGGUAAUGAAGAAAUCGAGGCAAUAGUGUAAUGUUGAAAAGUUUAUGUAGAAGUUACAUAUGUUGACAAAGCUGUUACGUAAGAACUAUCUAUUUAAAAAAGUAUUCAACCAUAUAUAUCCACAUCCAGCCUUUUUGCUCAAUUAUGACUUAUUUUAACCAUUUAAGUGCGAAUAUCGAAAUAGAAAUUUAUCUUUUUAACUUUAAAAAGGCAAAAACACGUUUGAAUGGAAUUAUAACUUAUUGCUUUAGUAAAUUUUGUUGUUUCCUUACACGAUUAUUGACAAAGUGAACAGGACA